UCUUGGUUGCAUAAGAAUAUGGCUUCCUUCUUCGACUUUGCAAGAGGGCUGGAAGAACUCCAAUUCAUCUUCAUUCUUUCAAAGAUAAUGAUAGUAACGGGGGUGAUUGUUGCAUUCAGUCUUAUCUUUCUUAAAGCCGAAUAUGGAAGGUACUUUUCUUCGAAUUCAACACGGAAGUACGGCUUUGCAGUAGAUGCAAGAGUUGCAUGGUUUGUGCAAGAACUACCAGCCUUCGUCGUUCCAUGUCUGCUGCUGUUGUAUGCACGCAAAGACGUCUUUGGAUUGACUCCCAAUAUGACUCUGCUAUCUUUGUUUUUAUUGCAUUACACUCAAAGGUCACUCAUUUAUCCUUGGCUUAUCAAAGGAGGGAAACCGACUCCUGUUUUUCUGUCAUUUCUGGCAUUUAUGUUUUGUGUAUUAAAUGGAUACAUGCAGGCAAGAUAUUUAACAAAAUUUGCUCGAUACGAAAUGUCUUACUUAUCAAGUCCCCGCUUUGUUUGUGGUGUAGCGAUAUUUUUCAUGGGGAUGGCCAUCAACAUCCAUUCAGAUCACGUUCUGCGCAACUUAAGGAGACCUGGUGAAACAGGGUACAACAUUCCAAGAGGUGGUAUGUUCACCUAUGUGUCAGGAGCCAAUUUUUUUGGUGAGAUAGUUGAAUGGGCUGGCUUUGCUUUAGCCUGUUGGUCACUUCCAAGCUUAGCCUUCUUCUUGUUUACUGCUUUUAACAUCGGCCCAAGAGCAGUUCAACAUCACAGAGUCUCCUGAGACUCUGCAGGAGGCUUCUGUGUCUCUAUUGGAGGAAGGCAUUUCGAGUUUUCAGAGUUUUAACAUAACUUGACAUGUGGUCACCCAAAGGAGUGAAUUGUUGGGAAAAGUUUGGAUGCAAAAAACACCAGCUGGUAUCUUACAAAGUUUGAAGAUUAUCCAAAGUCGCGUAAAGCUCUGAUUCCUUUUGUUUUAUGAAGCAAUAAAGAAAAUCAGG
This 982-nucleotide unclassified non-coding RNA is filed under the name Pocillopora damicornis (cauliflower coral). Its description in RNAcentral is "3-oxo-5-alpha-steroid 4-dehydrogenase 1-like, transcript variant X2". Lineage: Eukaryota; Metazoa; Cnidaria; Anthozoa; Scleractinia; Pocilloporidae. The record is from RNAcentral.